GUUGUAUUACCUCCAUCCCAAAAAGUUUGUCUUAGAUUUAUGUAAAUAUGGGUGAAUCUAACACUAAAAUGUGUCUAGGUACAUCUGUAUGUAGACAAAUCUAAGACAAACUUUUAGGGACGGAGGUAGUAUAAG
Molecule: non-coding RNA, 135 nt
Organism: Triticum aestivum (bread wheat)
Lineage: Eukaryota; Viridiplantae; Streptophyta; Magnoliopsida; Poales; Poaceae
Source: Rfam